Non-coding RNA from Triticum urartu, 8949 nucleotides. The record is from RefSeq and is a predicted model, not a curated record. NCBI's taxonomy places the organism in Eukaryota, Viridiplantae, Streptophyta, Magnoliopsida, Poales, Poaceae.
GAAACGUGCAACGAAACCUAUCCCAAAUCGAAUCCACCGCCGCGGCGCCGCUCCCCCUUCGGCCGCCCUAGCAACUCCUCCGGCGGCUGGCGAGCGAGUAGAGAUGAACGCCGCUGCUCCCGCCGUCCCGCCUCCGCUCAGGCUUUUACUCCACCUCAAUCUGCGGGCGGGGAAUUUUGGAUUCCAGCAACAACGGGCGCGUCGGUGAUCUUCGGCGCGUGGCUGCGACAGAGCUCGACGCGCCUAGGCGGUUGAUCUGGCCGGGUGUCCAUGGCCGAUGGCGGCUUCAAAGGAUCGACAACGCUGCCACGGGUAGAGAUCGACGGCAAUAGGCCUGAUCUGUGGCCCCUCCAGUGGAUUCGUCGCUCCUCUUCCACGGCCACCAAUGGCGCAGGCCCCUUUCCUCGUCGAACGCUCGCUCAGGGGCUCUGUUCCUCAGCCGGUGAGCCCCCGUCUCUUCGACGGCAGCGGCACAGGCCGCACCUUGAGCUUCACAUCUCUUCCACGACAAGCGGCACAAGCAACAUGUUUUCUAGGGUUUUGUUUCCCCGCCUCCUUUCUUCGCAGUGGCACAUCAACGGCAUUGCCAACAACCUGCCAGGGCACUGAACUUCAGAAUUUACCUUGCUCUUCUGAACUGCAUAUUUGUCUCACUGCCAACAUAAUAUCUGCAUACGCUGCAUCCAAAUUAAGCAGUACCAGUCCCAAAAUAAUUACUCUGGCCAGAGAAAGAAGCCAGUGUUCGCCGUGCUCUGUUUGAUCUAAUACAGAUUUUGAAAGAAAGGAAUUGCAGAUUUUAUUUGGACAAAGAGAUGAAGCCAGAAAGGCCAUGGCGACAACUAGUUCCACAUCCACAACUCUGGCCGCCAUGCCCAUAGUAUCUUCUACAUGCAGCAAUUCUCUUUCGAUGUAGGUAGUCUGUGUUCAUCUCUAGCCCUGUGUGUGUGCGUGUGUGCGUGUGCGGAACUAGGAUUCGAUUCGGUAUAACACCAUCACCGAUGCAGACGAUAAGGGGUUCAUCGCGCCAGGCACCUUGGCGUUGCUUCCGUGAGAUGGUGGCCGCGGCUACAGAAACAGCUACGGUGAGUUCCUCUCCUCACCUCCAGUGGUUGCUCUGAGCUCAGUGUGGCCAUCGUGCCAUGGCUAUAUCUGGUUAGGCUGCUACAGUACGCCCUUGCAUAACGAUGGUGCUACUGUUUGUUUGUUUGUUUGUUUCUCUGCCUUGCUGCCACUAGCCUGCCUGAUAGAAACUUGUUGAAUAUAUAUGUCUUUGAGCAGGAAUUGAUAGAAUAUAUAUAGCUCAUGUCCAUGUUGAUUCCCAUCCCACUCAAAGUCUGAAACACUUCUUCUUCUUCGCACUCAACAACUAGGCAGCACUCAACAACAACUACACACAUGGAGCAGUCUUGUUCGUUUCAGGAUGUAGUAUCACCACUUUAUUUAUUCCCUGCCUGCCUCCAUGAUAUUCUGACUGCAUAUAUGUGGUCUGUGUACCAUCCAUGAUAUGCACUUGCAUCCUCAACUCAUGUUGGUAUUGUUUUAUAUUCAAGGAUGCCUUCCUACUCCUGCUAGUUUAGUUGUUGUGUGGCCUUGUUUCCAUGAUGAUGAAAUUCCAAAUAUACAAAUUAUUCAUACUACAUGGAGGGCCGGUGCGGGUGCUUUGGACACUCAUUUUAUGUCACGUCAUUCAAUUAAGAAAGGCAUUUUUGACAGCGUCAAAGUAAGAAGUCGUGUCAAGAAGAGUGGUGCCAGAAUAACCAUAGCGUUCAAUAGAGGAAAGCGGGCGAGCACAGAAGCCAUAGUAGGUCGAGUUGGAGGCAGUGCGUUACCAAUAGAAGGAGGUUUUGUAGUUGAGGGAGAUGGCGAAUUAGAGGAAUCCACAACACGUGGACGACCAAUGUGGUAAGAAGAGGAUGAGGGGGAAUUACCGGAGAAGCCUCACAGGACGAGCGAGGUUUGAGGUAGCCUCAGGUAAUGAACGAGGCAAGGAAGCCACAUGUGACACUGGUAUGGAGUCUAGAAUAUUAGUACGGGAAGACACGGUGGGAUGGGUGGAUAAGGACAAUGCGUGGGUGAUAGGUGUAUCUGCAAAAGUGAGGAAAGAAAUAUCGUCAAUGGGAGGAUGGACAUGGAUUGAAAGGAUGAGACUCAUCAAAAGCCACAUCCUGAGAAAUGAGCAUCCCAUGAGAAGGAUCCUAACAAGUUAUAUUCAAUAGACUGAGCAACCAGUUUGGUGCGUUCAAGGGGGGGGGGGGGGGGGGGGGGGAGGGGCGCAAAAAGAAAAGGUAGCAACCGCAACCAAACAAAAGAAGCGUUGAGUAGCCAUGAGAAUGACCAAAAAGAUGCUUGAGAGAACAAGAUCAAAAGGACGUUGAGAGAUCGUCUCAGAAUGAGGAUGAAGUAAUCAUGUUUACCAAGCCGACAAACUUGACAGUUUAAAGACAACACCCGAGAUAGAUACAAGAAAAUCACGUUGAGAGGUGAGGGACGAGAGCCAUACAAUUGACCGACGAUGAUGCCACAGAGAGUCGGUCGCCAAGGAAACAGACGAAGAAAAGGUAGCAACCGCAACCAAACAAAUGAAGCGUUGAGUAGUCACAAGAACAACUAAAAAGACGCUCGAGAGAAAUGUCACCCUGUGGAGCAGAGGAAGGGUGAAUAUUGAUGAGAUGGGUGGAAGUAGGAACAAUCUCAACCCAAAAGUGAGGUGGAAGAGAGGCAGCGAUCAUCGACGCACGAGCUACCUCAAGAAAGUGACGAUGGUUGCGCUCAUCAACACCAUUUUGAGCAUGAGCACUAGGAGAAGAGAACUGACCAAGUGCGCCCUGCUCAGCGAGGAAUCCCACAACAAAUGAGAGAUACUCACGAGCAGAAUCUGCACGGAAGACACUGAUGGGAGUGGAAAACUGGGUAUGAACCAUGGUGUUAAACUUCUCACCGCUAAGAUCUCACUACAAGAAGAUACGAAAUAUAUCCAUGUGUGUCGAGAGUAAUCAUCUAUAAACAUAAUAUAGUAGCGAUGGCCUCCAUUCGAGGCGAAGGAAGCUGGACCCCAAACAUCAGAGUGAACAAGAUUGAAAGGAUGUUGAGACACCGCCUCGCUAUGAGUAUAAAGUAACCGAACCUGUUUACCAAGCUGACAAACCCGAUAGUUUAAAGACACAACACCUGAGACAGAUCCAAGAAAACCACCUCGAACUAAGGACGAGGGAUGAGAGCCAUACAAGUGACCCACAAUGAUGCCACAUAGAGCCGACAGCCGAGGAAACAUAGGUGAAGAGAGUAGCGGUGGCAGCAGCAAGGCAUGUGAAGCCAUUCAAGCUCCUGGAGGAGCUGGGAGUCACUGCACCGAGGGCCAACACAAAGUAGAGCACACGUGUGACGAUCUAAUCUAAACAAGAGCCAAAGAUGAGGAUGACUACCCCUGAGUCAACAAUCUUACACAUGAAAUGAGCUACAUGGUAAGUCAAGGAACAUGACAAUGAAGUGCUGAUAGUGCCAUCAACAAUAAGAACAUGAAUAUGAGAGUUUAAAGGUUUGAAUGGAGGACAAACUGGAAGAAGCAUGAGUCAUAUGAAAAGACUCUCCAAUAUCAAGUAUCCAUGGAAAGAUGUGCUUCCAGCCUACAAAUGAGUUCAGUGCUCAACCUCAUGGCAACACACUUAUAUGCUAAUUCUUGGACAUUUCUAAUAACAAGAAGCCUUACUCCUAUUUUGGUAUUUUGGCCUGAGGUAGUUGGGCUAGUAGGUGCCAAGGUGGUCAUGGAAAGAAAAUCGAGCUUGAACAAACCCGAUGUGUAAGGAGAAAGAUGAUUUUGACCCUUCCUGGUUAUGACUUUGGUACGAAGCCACCUCGCAAGAUGUUAUGAUUGCAGGCAACCUCGCGUUAGUCAAGGACUUGCCCUUGGUGCCAGGGGAAAGAAAGUGACAAGUCUUAUAGAAUACCACGAGGGAAAACUGGGAUGAGCAUCUCAGCUCAGGGUUCCUAUUUGCAAGUUCAAGUGAAAAAGAAAGAGGAUGACGAGGGCGUGCUGCUUCUGACAUCAUUUUCAUUGCUUCCUCAUACCUCCCUAUUUGCAAGUUCAUGUGAAGAAAAGACAGGAUGGCAAGGGCGUGUCGCUCUUGACAGCGUUUUCAUUGAAUCCCCGUAACUCUCAUGCACUCUCCAUUUCUAGCCGAUCCGACUUAGCGUUCUUCCCUUGUUUGUGGGUUGUGUGUCACGGACUUGGUUCCGCAUUCCAUGUUCCCUUGUUGGUCGUCCCUGGCCUUGGCGACAGGUAGCGUCGUGCUCUUGGGCGCUAUGCGUCCUCGCGUAAGACGGAGACGGUGCCGACUGCUCGUGCUCUUGCUCCGCCAGUGGUGGUGCCUGAGCUUGUGGCUAUUUGGGCAACCUGCAUGGGAGCACAGGAUGUAGGAACAAGGCAGCACACAAAGCAACUUGCAAACAUGUGAAGGAUGCCUUGCCGGACUGGCAGGCAAUGGAAAGAGUACGCGGCAGGUGUGGGGGAAGGGUGAAAACACUGUCGAGAGCGGACUGUCAUUGCCGUCAGUCUUUGGACCUAGAGCCGAGCGAAGAAGGGAUGGCGAUAAGGAAGCGAGGAAGACAGGAAGAGGGCAUAUGCCUGUGUGUUGGCCAUGACAGUGGACGAUGGCAUGGCAUGGUUGUUGUGGAGUGAGGUGCCAUCGUAGUCAUGCCAUAGCAUGGCAUGGCACUCUGCCAUCAUAGUCAUGGCCAUAUUUUUGUUGAAAACCACGGGCCACACGACGAGCUAUGUAACAAUUAGGAGAACCACCAGUCUUAACAUUGUAGACCCACUUACAAGUGACAGACGAGCAUGAGGAGGAAGGGAAAUGAGAUCCCAUGUGUUGAUGCACUCACGAGCAGCAAUCUCUUAUGCCAUUGCAUAUUGCAGUUCGAGGUGAACAGCACUAUCAUGAGCAUUCAUCUCGAGAAGAAUGACGCCAGAAUAAUCAUAGUAUACAAUAGGGGGAAGCGGGCGAAUGCAGAAACCAUAGUAGGCUGAGCGGGAGGUGAUGCAUGGCCAAUAGGAGGCAUGGUUGUCAAGGGAAAUGGUGCAUUAGAAGAAUCCACAACAAGUGGAUGACCAAUGUGGUAAAUAUAAGAGGACGAGGGGGAAUCACUUGAGAAGCCACAUGGGAUGAGCGUGGUGAGGUUGCCUAAGGUAACAAAUGAGGUGCGGAAGCCACAUGUGAUGAUGGCAUGGUGUCUACAAGAGUAGUAUGGGAAGACAUGAUGGGAUGGGUGGACGAGGGCAACACAUGAGUGAUAGUUGUAUCGGGAAAAGUGAGGAAAGGAAUAUCCUCAAUGGGAGGAUGGGUGUGGAUAGAGAAGGACGAGACUCAUCAAAAGUCACAUCCCGAGAAAUGCGUAUUUGACGACCGACAGAAUCCCAACAUUGAUAGCCAUUGUGCUCGUCAUUGUGAAGACAUUCAACUGACUGAACAGUCAGUUUGGUGCGUUCGGGGGGGGGGGAGAGGGGAGGGGAGGGUGGCAAAACAUAGCAACGACAACCAAACAAACAAAGCACUGAGUCAUGAGAACAACCAAAAUGAUGCUCGGUAGAAAUGUCAGGUUGAAUGUUGAUGAGAUAGGUGGAAGUAGGAACAACCUCAACCCAAAAGUGAGGCGGAAGAGCCACGACGAUCAUCAAUUCACGAGCUGCCUCAAGAAAGUGAUGAUGCUUGUGCUCGUCAACAUCAUUCUGAGCAUGAGCACAAGGAGAGCAAGUGUGUCCUGCUCAACAAGGAAUCCACGCAACAAAUGAGAGGUACAGUUAUGAGCAGAAUCUACAUGGAAGACAAAUAGGAGUGGAAAAUUGGGUCAAGCAUGGUGGCAUGGCAGGGAAGACAAAAUCAUCGGCAGUCAUGGCGGCAAACUUACAGAGGAAUCAUCUAUAAAGAUAUUAUAGUAAAGAAUGGCCUCUUUUCGAGGCAAAUGGAGUUGGAUCCCAAACAUCAGAGUGAACAAGAUCGGAUGGGUGUUGAGAAACCUUCUUGCUAUGAGGAUGCAAUAACGGAACUGUUUACGAAGCCGACAACCUGGCAGUCUAAAGACCCAAUGCCGGAGACAUAUCCACGUUGAACCAAAGGAUGAGGGACGAGAGACAGAAGUGACCAAGACAAUGAUGUGAUAGAGAGCUGGUAGUUGAGGUAACAAAGGCGAAGAGAUUGGCACCAAGUAGAGCACCCGUGUAACGGUCCUAAUCUACAACCAGUCAACAAUCUAACCACCUAAAAUGAGUUACAUGGUAAGUCAAGGAAGGUGAGCAAAAGAAAGAACAUGACACGACAAAGUGUCUCAACUAUUCAAUGGGAGGGAAGUACCAUCAACAGUAAGAACAUGAACAUGAGAAGCUAGAGGUUUGAAUAGAGACAAACUGGAAGAAUCAUGAGUUAUAUGAAAAUACGCUCCAAUCAAAGGAUCCAUGGAAAUAUACCCAACUGUACAAAAGCACCGGGCGAUGAAAAACCAGAAGCAAUAAGUAGGUGUCGAAGUUGUCCAAGCUCCUGCGCGGUGAAGGAUACCGCUGAAGUGGUCGACGUAGAAUCACCAAAAGAGGAGUGGCCGCCACCACCACCUAUGUGAGCCCCAAAGAGGUAGCGGUGUAGCACGACAAAUACCGGUGGUAGAAGUCGAUAGAGGAGACAACGUCGUAGGCACACAAACACCAACCGCGUGGGAGUGAUGUGCACCAACACUAUCGAUGAAAGCCAUGAGGGGAGUCUGUGUAGAGCGACCAUCACCAUCUAUAAAGGUCGCGCGAGUUGUCACUAUGGAGCCACCACCACUGCCUGUAAAAACAAUUGGGGGGAGCAACCUCAUAGGUGGAGGAACACUGCACCAGCAAACGACACAUGUAUGAGGUAGGGUCAGUGUAGGUAACACCCUAAGAAAUCACCGGACAACAAGAUACUAUGUCCAAUGAAGUCAUUGUACCUGUUUCUUUGUUCUACUCUUUUCUUUUACAGAACAGUCUUAGAGAGCAGCAGAGCAUGGAAGAGCAGUGUAUAGGGCACGCACGGUGCCCUAGAGAAGCCAGUCGGUGGAACGGGUUGCCGGGGCUAAGGUUCCGUGGUGAAGUCCGGCGAUGAGGUCCUGUAUGUAGCAAAAGGUGCGGAGACCAUGACCCGCAACAGCGGAUGUCUCAAAUAUUGCGCCUCCUGGAGCUGCGGGGCGCUGGCCUCCCGGAGAUGGCGGUGAGGUGCUGACCUUUUGUACAUGGUAAUGAGGCGCGACCUUCUGAAACUGCAGGUGACGACGGCCUAGGAUCUAUAACAUUAGUAUGGGAAGACAUGGUGGGAUGGGUCGUGGAGGACAAUACAUGGGUGAUUGGUGUUAUUGGGAAAAGUAAGGAAAGAAAUUUAACUCCUACAGUAUGAGAGGGUCACUAGUAGCCUCGUUGCUCUCGUGAAAUUAUUUAUUGAAGUCGGCCCGCGGCCACUGUAGCUAGAAAAAAAUCGGGAUGAAGCAGCCCCUGUCUGGUCAUGAGCCCCGCGGCCGACUCCACUCCUCUUUGCCUCGUUGCCCUCUAUCUCUCUCUCUCUCUCUCUCUCUCCUUGCAGUUUCUGGAAUGGGGAGCGGAAGCAGCGGUGAGCGUUCCGGAGGUGAAGGGCGGCAGUAGAAGUUCAUCUGACCUUCGUUCCUGUAGCAUGGUUCGAAUCAAUUAAAGACCUGAGAUUCACUGGUAGAAGCUGCAGACAACCAUCGCUGGCGAGGCACGAGAAGUUUCCACGGUCAGAUUUACAUUGAGGAGAGGCCAUGUCAAAGAAAACACCACUAGUUAUGUGUUUGCAGCCACCUCUGCUACAUUUUGUUGUAUCAUAUUUGAGGUUCAGUUUCAUGCUGAUUGCAAUUUCUUACGGAUUGUUGUAUUUUGUUGUAGGUAGUAAGAUCAUAAGAUACUAAUGGGCUCCCUGUAAUCCCAAAGUGCAUUGGCCAGUGGAUAGAUAUUUUUUACAAAAUCUUCUAGAGGCGCUUAAUUUUCUAUAUCGAAAACGACUGCUGGUUCCAUCCAGAGUUCACCAAGUAUGGGAAUGAUCAUUGAGUAGGCCAAAAAGUUAGAUAAUUUCCUGUGCUCAGAUUGUGCUAAGAAAACAACGCAAAGAGACCUACAAAUUCAUACCAGAGUUCACCAAGUUCUCAUUCUAAGGCCAAUGAUUUAUUUCCCUUUUCUUGACUGUACUGUUUAUUCAUAUUCUGCUUGCGGAUAGCUAUAUGCCUUUAUCUUUUCUUUUUAAAUUUAGUUUCAACAAUUUCAUUUCCAAAGCUGAUGGUUCUUGCCUUUGUUUUUUCAAUAUUCCUGGGAAAAUGAUUGGUGUUUGACUACACUAGUACUUAUGUGUAGUUAAAAUUUGCUGUCAUGAGUUCCUUCAAUCUAUGCUGUGUACAGUGCCUUUUUAAGAAGAUGAUUAUAUUAUUUUUGCAGAACAUUAGUUAGUCCUUGCCAAGCAAUCUUACAUAUGUUGGCAAUAUUAAAUACUCGCAGGGUUGAGGUAGCUUGCUUCCCGUCAGAGAUCGAAUUUCCUAGGAGGUUGCCAUCUGGAGAGUAAGGUUAUCCAUCACAUGUUUGUCCAAAUGUCUCAGGGGAAUGAGAUGUCAGAUUAUAUUUUACUAAUAAAUUGUUUGUUUCCUUGUAAGUUACAAGAUCAACUGUCUCAGGGAAAUGAGAUGUCAGAUUAUAUUUCCUUUGCUGCCAUUUUUUUUGUGAGCUACUUUUGUAGGAGAAUGAGAUGUGGGAUCAAACCACUCAGAAAUCUUUUGUACUCCUUUGGGUUGUUGCACGCGAUACAGUUGUACUUUGUUGUUGUUAUCUUGCUUUCUGUGUGAGCUAAUUCUGUACAAUUAAUUAAGCUUUCGCACAGAAGAACAUAUAGUAGCAUGCUUGAGUGUUGUUUGUGAUUCAUAUAUGUGAUUGUUACCUAGAUCUAA